UACGUAGGGGGCUAGCGUUGUCCGGAUUUAUUGGGCGUAAAGAGCGUGUAGGCGGCCAGGCAGGUCUGCUGUGAAAACUCGAGGCUUAACCUCGAGAUGUCGGCGGAAACCAUCUGGCUAGAGUCCGGAAGAGGAGAGUGGAAUUCCUGGUGUAGCGGUGAAAUGCGCAGAUAUCAGGAAGAACACCCGUGGCGAAGGCGGCUCUCUGGGACGGUACUGACGCUGAGACGCGAAAGCGUGGGGAGCGAACAGG
RNAcentral lists this ribosomal RNA (253 nucleotides) under uncultured bacterium. RNAcentral's name for it is "partial 16S ribosomal RNA". It matches the Rfam family "Bacterial small subunit ribosomal RNA", at positions 524 to 776 of the family's 1533-position model. The record is from RNAcentral.